This 253-nucleotide ribosomal RNA is filed under the name uncultured prokaryote. Its description in RNAcentral is "partial 16S ribosomal RNA". It matches the Rfam family "Bacterial small subunit ribosomal RNA", at positions 524 to 776 of the family's 1533-position model. The record is from RNAcentral.
GACGAACCGUGCGAACGUUGUUCGGAAUCACUGGGCUUAAAGGGCGCGUAGGCGGAUAUCCAAGUCAGUGGUGAAAUCUUUCAGCUUAACUGGAAAACGGCCGUUGAUACUGGAUGUCUGGAGUGAGGUAGGGGCAUGCGGAACUUCCGGUGGAGCGGUGAAAUGCGUAGAUAUCGGAAGGAACACCGGUGGCGAAGGCGGCGUGCUGGACCUCAACUGACGCUGAGGCGCGAAAGCCAGGGGAGCAAACGGG